This 457-nucleotide ribosomal RNA is filed under the name uncultured bacterium. RNAcentral describes it as "bacterial SSU rRNA". It matches the Rfam family "Bacterial small subunit ribosomal RNA", at positions 219 to 667 of the family's 1533-position model. The record is from RNAcentral.
CAUUGGAUGAGCCCGCGCCGGAUUAGCUUGUUGGUGAGGUAAAAGCUCACCAAGGCGAUGACGGGUAGCUGACGUGAGAGCGUGACCAGCCACACUGGGACUGAGACACGGCCCAGACUCCUACGGGAGGCAGCAGUGGGGAAUAUUGCGCAAUGGGCGAAAGCCUGACGCAGCGACGCCGCGUGGGGGAGGAAGGCCCUAGGGUUGUAAACCCCUGUCAGGUGGGACGAACCCUGGGUCGACGAAUAGUUGGCUCAGCUGACGGUACCAUCAGAGGAAGCUCCGGCUAACUCCGUGCCAGCAGCCGCGGUAACACGGGGGGAGCAAGCGUUGUUCGGAAUCACUGGGCGUAAAGCGCGCGUAGGCGGCCGAGUAAGUCGUAUGUGAAAGACCGGGGCUCAACUCCGGUAUUGCAUGCGAUACUGCCCGGCUGGAGAAAGGUAGAGGCAAGUGGAAU